This is a non-coding RNA of Pelobates cultripes (western spadefoot toad), 248 nucleotides long. NCBI's taxonomy places the organism in Eukaryota, Metazoa, Chordata, Amphibia, Anura, Pelobatidae. The record is from the annotation of a GenBank genome assembly.
CUUAUAUCCAUCCCAAACCUAUUAGGUCUCCUCCAUACAUUCGGGAAAAUCUCGAACCUGAAACUCAACACGGAAAAGUCUGAGGCCAUCAACAUCUCUAUCCCCUCUGAACCUAGCUCACACUUGCGCUCCCAAUUCAGAUUCAGAUGGUGUGGCUCGAAACUAAAAUACCUCGGCAUCUGGUUGACUAAAGAACACUCACAUCUCUACCAGGAGAACUUUGCCCCCAUCCUGACCUCGCUCCAAGC